RNAcentral lists this ribosomal RNA (283 nucleotides) under uncultured bacterium. Its description in RNAcentral is "partial 16S ribosomal RNA". It matches the Rfam family "Bacterial small subunit ribosomal RNA", at positions 773 to 1060 of the family's 1533-position model. The record is from RNAcentral.
GUGGAUUAGAUACCCUGGUAGUCCACGCCCUAAACGAUGAAUACUCGCUGUUAGCGAUAUACAGUUAGCGGCUAAGCGAAAGCGUUAAGUAUUCCACCUGGGGAGUACGCCCGCAAGGGUGAAACUCAAAGGAAUUGACGGGGGCCCGCACAAGCGGAGGAGCAUGUGGUUUAAUUCGAUGAUACGCGAGGAACCUUACCCGGGCUUGAAAGUUAGUGAAUGAUUUAGAGAUAGAUCAGUCCUUCGGGACACGAAACUAGGUGCUGCAUGGCCGUCGUCAACU